CAGCAGCCGCGGUAAUACGUAGGGUGCAAGCGUUAAUCGGAAUUACUGGGCGUAAAGCGUGCGCAGGCGGUUAUAUAAGACAGAUGUGAAAUCCCCGGGCUCAACCUGGGAACUGCAUUUGUGACUGUAUAGCUAGAGUACGGCAGAGGGGGAUGGAAUUCCGCGUGUAGCAGUGAAAUGCGUAGAUAUGCGGAGGAACACCGAUGGCGAAGGCAAUCCCCUGGGCCUGUACUGACGCUCAUGCACGAAAGCGUGAGGAGCAAACAGGAUUAGAUACCCGCGUAGUCCCUGUCUCUUAUAC
RNAcentral lists this ribosomal RNA (301 nucleotides) under uncultured bacterium. RNAcentral's name for it is "partial 16S ribosomal RNA". It matches the Rfam family "Bacterial small subunit ribosomal RNA", at positions 509 to 807 of the family's 1533-position model. The record is from RNAcentral.